Chelmon rostratus (copperband butterflyfish) is the source of this 695-nucleotide long non-coding RNA. RefSeq lists it as uncharacterized. The transcript has 2 exons. Lineage: Eukaryota; Metazoa; Chordata; Actinopteri; Chaetodontiformes; Chaetodontidae. The record is from RefSeq and is a predicted model, not a curated record.
CAAAUACGGAGGGUGAGGAGGAGAGAGACACGAGUUGCUGAAAGAGGAAGUGUUGGUGUACUCAGGAGCCAGGAUGUCCCUCAGCUGCAUCAACGCCAGCAGUCAGGUCAGGAUGAUGGAACAGCUGUCAAGUCCAGUCCCAGGUCGAGGUUAAUGCUAAUCGUGAUAGGGGUUGUUCAUUACCCGACACCUAACAUGUUAGCAUUAGCUUCACUCUGGGACAUCUCACCCAAAAAAACUGACCAAGGCCACCACUGGUACAUCCAACACUGAAGCCACGAUGCAACUGAGGAAUCUGUUGCAUGAACAGCCACAAAGUGAACACACGCACACCGUGUUACUGCUGUCGAAGACUUUCCGGCUCUAAAUGACGACGUCAAGACUCUGUGACUUUGUGAUUUAACUGUAUAGAUUCAAGUUUACAGCACCUGAGAAUUAACAAAUAGCCGUCUGGCUUUGAAGUAAUGCAUCCUUGUAUAUAUAUCACUUAAACCAUUGUAUAAAGAAACUUUUUAGUGUUCUAUAUGAAAGAAUGUUGCACAUGCUAUAUUUUGACUUGUACCUGUAUGAUACACUGUGUGCGGUGGGCCCAUGAAGAAGCCAGUUACUGUCAGUGAUUCUUUUAUUUUUCAGGAACACUGGAGGAUGAUGAAGUGGAAAUGAUCAUAAGCUCAAUAAACUGACAACCAUGUUAA